GCCAAAUAGGGGAGAGUGGGGGAGGAUUGUCGUGUGGAUGUCUCACCUCUAGCAUCGCUCCGGCAUGGCGUGUGGUCGUGAUGACUCGCAGGGGCCGUUCGCACAUGUUAGUGACCUUCCUGUGCGGAGACAUCAACAGGACCGCGACGAAUUGCUUACCAAAGUUGGGAAAUCACCGCCAACUGCACCAUGCCGUGGUAAGGCUUCAUCAUGUCAUCAUCGCUGGUGAGGACCUUCCCCAUAGUUUUGUACUGAUCUCUGCUUCGUGUUGCUCUAUUCGGUUUCGAGUUUGGGGCUCUAAUGCACGAAGUACACGACACCGGCCAUGGCGCCGCAGCUGAUGGGCUCUCAUCGUGCGUCUGGCCACCGUGGGGUGGAAGAUGAGCCAUUGACCGUAGGAUCAUAUCCGGAUGUUCCAGAUUAGAAGCACGUUACCGGUUUGGCUCCUUUAAAUCAAACCUGUUCAUCUCGGAACGGAGGGGCAUGGAUAGAUCAUGCAUGUGGAGCUUUGGAGCUAUUGAUCUUUAAUCCUCUGGUUGUGAUCAUGUAUUGGGUCGGAUAUAACCUCAACCAUAGGAUGAGAUCUGAACGGCUCUGCUGGGAAAAUACCCCUUCGGCGUGAAUGAUAAAGAGACCCUACUCUUUUAUCUAUUCAACCCGCAAUCCACAACACUGAAUGGACCACCAUAGUUUAGCCCAAAACUUUGCAAAACCGACCUUGAGCUCUUAGGAUUUUGUACACAACGUCCCUAGACUUUAGUAAAUCAUAUAAAUAAAUCUGGAAAAAUGAUUCUUAGUAGAAAAAUAAAUCCAUAAUCUUGCAUAAUUCAUAUCUUAACCAUUUUGACUCCGUUUUGAUCUGUUCAAGUUGCGUUAGUUUCGUAAUAAAGUUGCCUACACAGUAGCAAUAUUAUUUGAUCAUGUCUCAUAACUUUUAUAAAUAGAUAUUGGUUUAGCCUAUGAUUAGUAGAUUAAUCCCUCUAACCAAAGUUAAACUAGUCCAUGAUGAUAAUUUGACAUAAAUACGAUUUCUAAUCAAGUAUUAAUCUAGAUUAAAGUUGAGUUAAUUAUUUAUAGUAUAUUUUCUCAUAUGAAGUAUAAUAACCAAUUUAUGCUAUAGUUUAAUAUUUAAUCACAUAGAUCUUACAUAAACCAUAUCUUUUUAACCGUAACCCCGAAUUUAGUGGUUCUCGAACCCAUGAUCUUGUAGCAACACGUAGAUUAUUAUUAUGCAGUUUGUUCUAAUGUUUGGUGUGAUGUCAAUACUGCCUAUACCAUGUUUGUUGUAUUUCUACGAAUAGCGGUGAGGUCACGAGAAUCUGAAGAUCAUCCUGGUACCUGGAAUCUCGAGUCUCAAGCAAGUUGUGCCCUUGAUCACUUUUCUUUACCCAAUAAUGUUCCUGUUAAUCACUGUGACUUGCUCAGGUUAAUUUGAUGGGAUCUAAUAGUUUCCCUAGACUUGUUUAUCACACACUUUGUUUACCACUGAACUUUUGGGUAGUUAUGCUAUUGCUCUAUCUGGUUUUGGGAUUAAUACAUUAUGAUCAUGUUCCAAUUAUACUGUUGUUUUAAUUAUUGUUCAUGAUAAGAUCAUUGUGUUAAUUGGAACAUGGAGCUUAACUUGAGAAAUACGUGCUACCACAAGGGUGGAAUGGGACGCCCUUGGUUGACUAAUUAGGAAAGCUAGUGGAGGACUACCUUACCCGAAAGGGGAAAGGGCAGUAGGGGAGUUGCGUAUAGGGAGGUUCUCGGGUCGAUCAUGCUACGAUGGCUUUUCGGACGAGGGAUUCCUAUAUUGCCCUUCCUAAAAACUGUAGCGGGUUUUUGAAGCUAGUGGAACUUUGUAAAGGCCUCGUAGUGGAUCCCUAGCCAUUCACCUCGGAAGUGUCUAAGGGUCUAGCUAACCCUGGCUAGAUGGGAUACACGACUUGUGGGUAAAGGACGCAACCUCUAUAGAGUGUAAAACUGGUAUAUCAGUCGUGCUCGCGGUCAUGAGCAGCUCAAGACUCUCACAUGAUUAAUCUAUGGAAAUAAACUUAAUUUGUCAUAUGCAUUGCAUUGUGGGUGUUGUUAUUAAUUUGAUCUCUUACUUAUUUGGGUUGGUAUCUACUUAUACUUAGUAACUGCUAAUAAAACUUUGAGCAUCUCUAAAACCAAUGCUCAGCUUUAACCAUAUCUUUUGGUAAGCCUUACACUUCACAUGAGCUCCCACCUUUGGUGAGUUCAUGCACAUUAUUUCCCACAACUUGUUGAGCGAUGAACGUAUGUGAGCUCACCCUUGUUGUACUCAUAUUCUCCCCUAGGUCAAGAACAGUGGAUGAGGCGCAUGAAGGAUUCUGCGAUGAGUUCGUGAAAGGUCUAGGUCAUCGUUGAAAGGAAAAUAGGGUUAACCUUUUUCCACAAUUAAUUUUGGUGGUUGAAUGCCCAACACAAAUAUAUGGACUAACUAGUUUGCUAUAGAAUACAUGUUCUACAGGUGCAAAAAGGUUCAAUAUAAACCAAUAAAUAUUCAAGUUAGGGAUCCAAUUUGAAGGAGCAAAAGAAACCAAGUGUGCUCUGGUCUAGCGCACCGGACUGUCCGGUGCACCUAGACUGUCUGGUGUGCCAUCGGACUGUCCGGUGCACCAGCGGAGCAACA
Molecule: long non-coding RNA, 2638 nt
Filed under: Zea mays
Lineage: Eukaryota; Viridiplantae; Streptophyta; Magnoliopsida; Poales; Poaceae
Description: long non-coding RNA (ZMAY_LNC004910)
Source: RNAcentral